Molecule: ribosomal RNA, 1424 nt
Filed under: metagenome
Description: bacterial SSU rRNA
Rfam family: Bacterial small subunit ribosomal RNA
Source: RNAcentral
UGCAAGUCGAACGGUUGUAGCAAUACAGCAGUGGCAGACGGGUGAGUAACACGUGGGAACCUUCCUAGGGGUACGGAACAACUCAGGGAAACUUGAGCUAAUACCGUAUACGUCCGUAAGGAGAAAGAUUUAUCGCCCUUAGACGGGCCCGCGUCGGAUUAGCUAGUUGGUGAGGUAAAGGCUUACCAAGGCGACGAUCCGUAGCGGGUCUGAGAGGAUGAUCCGCCACACUGGAACUGAGACACGGUCCAGACUCCUACGGGAGGCAGCAGUGGGGAAUUUUGGACAAUGGGGGCAACCCUGAUCCAGCCAUGCCGCGUGAGUGAAGAAGGCCUUCGGGUUGUAAAGCUCUUUCGGCCGGGAAGAAAUCGCAUGGGCCAAUACCCUGUGUGGAUGACGGUACCGGAAUAAGAAGCACCGGCUAACUACGUGCCAGCAGCCGCGGUAAUACGUAGGGUGCGAGCGUUAAUCGGAAUUACUGGGCGUAAAGCGUGCGCAGGCGGUUUUGUAAGACAGGCGUGAAAUCCCCGGGCUUAACCUGGGAACUGCGUUUGUGACUGCAAGGCUAGAGUACGGCAGAGGGGGGUGGAAUUCCACGUGUAGCAGUGAAAUGCGUAGAGAUGUGGAGGAACACCAAUGGCGAAGGCAGCCCCCUGGGUCGAUACUGACGCUCAUGUACGAAAGCGUGGGUAGCAAACAGGAUUAGAUACCCUGGUAGUCCACGCCCUAAACUAUGUCAACUAGGUGUUGGGUGGGUAAAACCAUUUAGUACCGUAGCUAACGCGUGAAGUUGACCGCCUGGGGAGUACGGCCGCAAGGUUAAAACUCAAAGGAAUUGACGGGGACCCGCACAAGCGGUGGAUGAUGUGGAUUAAUUCGAUGCAACGCGAAAAACCUUACCUACCCUUGACAUGCCAGGAACUUGCCAGAGAUGGCUUGGUGCCCGAAAGGGAGCCUGGACACAGGUGCUGCAUGGCUGUCGUCAGCUCGUGUCGUGAGAUGUUGGGUUAAGUCCCGCAACGAGCGCAACCCUUGUCGUUAAUUGCCACCAUUUAGUUGGGCACUUUAACGAGACUGCCGGUGACAAACCGGAGGAAGGUGGGGAUGACGUCAAGUCCUCAUGGCCCUUAUGGGUAGGGCUUCACACGUCAUACAAUGGUCGGUACAAAGGGUUGCCAAGCCGCGAGGCGGAGCCAAUCCCAGAAAGCCGAUCGUAGUCCGGAUUGCAGGCUGCAACUCGCCUGCAUGAAGUCGGAAUCGCUAGUAAUCGUGGAUCAGCAUGUCACGGUGAAUACGUUCCCGGGUCUUGUACACACCGCCCGUCACACCAUGGGAGCGGGUUCCGCCAGAAGUAGGUAGCCUAACCGCAAGGGGGGCGCUUACCACGGCGGGGUUCGUGACUGGGGUGAAGUCGUAACGAGGUA